Long non-coding RNA from Oncorhynchus tshawytscha (Chinook salmon), 949 nucleotides. RefSeq lists it as uncharacterized. The record is from RefSeq and is a predicted model, not a curated record. The transcript is spliced from 3 exons. NCBI's taxonomy places the organism in Eukaryota, Metazoa, Chordata, Actinopteri, Salmoniformes, Salmonidae.
AGUAAGGUCUGAAUGUUGUCGUUCUAACCAACAUCUGGAGGUGUGGUGGUGUCAGUGGAAGUAGUAAGGUCUGAAUGUUGUCGUUCUAACCAACAUCUGGAGGUGUGGUGGUGUCAGUGGAAGUAGUAAGGUCUGAAUGUUGUUGUUCUAACCAACAUCUGGAGGUGUGGUGGUGUCAGUGGAAGUCGUAAGGUCUGAAUGUUGUUGUUCUAACCAACAUCUGGAGGUGUGGUGGUGUCAGUGGAAGUAGUAAGGUCUGAAUGUUGUCAUUCUAACCAACAUCUGGAGGUGUGGUGGUGUCAGUGGAAGUAGUAAGGUCUGAAUGUUGUUGUUCUAACCAACAUCUGGAGGUGUGGUGGUGUCAGUGGAAGUAGUAAGGUCUGAAUGUUGUUGUUCCAACCAACAUCUGGAGGUGUGGUGGUGUCAGUGGAAGUAGUAAGGUCUGAAUGUUGUCGUUCUAACCAACAUCUGGAGGUGUGGUGGUGUCAGUGGAAGUAGUAAGGUCUGAAUGUUGUCGUUCUAACCAACAUCUGGAGGUGUGGUGGUGUCAGUGGAAGUAGUAAGGUCUGAAUGUUGUCGUUCUAACCAACAUCUGGAGGUGUGGUGGUGUCAGUGGAAGUAGUAAGGUCUGAAUGUUGUCGUUCUAACCAACAUCUGGAGGUGUGGUGGUGUCAGUGGAAGUAGUAAGGUCUGAAUGUUGUCGUUCUAACCAACAUCUGGAGGUGUGGUGGUGUCAGUGGAAGUAGUAAGGACUGAAUGUUGUCGUUCUAACCAACAUCUCGAGGUGUGGUGGUGUCAGUGGAAGUAGUAAGGUCUGAAUGUUGUCGUUCUAACCAACAUCUGGAGGUGUGGUGGUGUCAGUGGAAGUCGUAAGGUCUGAAUGUUGUUCUAACCAACAUCUGGAGGUGUGGUGGUGUCAGUGGAGGUAGUAAGGUCUGAAUGUUGUGUU